RNAcentral lists this ribosomal RNA (623 nucleotides) under uncultured fungus. RNAcentral's name for it is "LSU rRNA". It matches the Rfam family "Eukaryotic large subunit ribosomal RNA", at positions 23 to 664 of the family's 3401-position model. The record is from RNAcentral. Lineage: Eukaryota; Fungi.
ACCCGCUGAACUUAAGCAUAUCAAUAAGCGGAGGAAAAGAAACCAACAGGGAUUGCCUCAGUAACGGCGAGUGAAGCGGCAACAGCUCAAAUUUGAAAUCUGGCUCACGCCCGAGUUGUAAUUUGUAGAGGAUGUUUCGGGUGAAGCCGCGGUCCAAGUCCCUUGGAACAGGACGUCAUAGAGGGUGAGAACCCCGUACCUGGCCGCCGGUGCCCCCCGCUGUGAAACUCCUUCGACGAGUCGAGUUGUUUGGGAAUGCAGCUCUAAAUUGGUGGUAAAUUCCAUCUAAAGCUAAAUACCGGCCAGAGACCGAUAGCGCACAAGUAGAGUGAUCGAAAGAUGAAAAGCACUUUGAAAAGAGAGUUAAAAAGUACGUGAAAUUGUUGAAAGGGAAGCGCUUGCGGCCAGACUUGCCUGCGGUUGCUCAUCCCGCCUUUUGGCGGGUGCACUCUUCCGCAGUCAGGCCAGCAUCGGUUUGGGCGGUCGGAUAAAGGCGUUGGGAACGUGGCCUCCCCUCGGGGAGGUGUUAUAGCCCGGCGCGCAAUGCGACCAGCCCGGACCGAGGUUCGCGCUUUGCUAGGAUGCUGGCGUAAUGGCCGUAAGCGGCCCGUCUUGAAACACGG